UAUCUGCACGGCAGUGGUGACUCUAGAGG
This 29-nucleotide non-coding RNA is filed under the name Rattus norvegicus (Norway rat). Lineage: Eukaryota; Metazoa; Chordata; Mammalia; Rodentia; Muridae. The record is from RNAcentral.